AAUCAACGCUGGCGGCGUGCCUCAGACAUGCAAGUCGAACGCGAAAUUUCCCUUCGGGGAGAAAGUAGAGUGGCGCACGGGUGAGUAACACGUAGGUAAUUUGCCUUUGGGUGGGGAAUAACUCAGGGAAACUUGAGCUAAUACCGCAUAAUGCAGCGGCUCGACAUCGAGACAGUUGUUAAAGCGGGGGAUUGGAGCAAUCCGACCUCGCGCCUAAAGAGAAGCCUGCGGCAGAUUAGCUAGUUGGUAAGGUAAUGGCUUACCAAGGCGACGAUCUGUAACCGGCCUGAGAGGGCGGUCGGUCACACUGACACUGACAUACGGGUCAGACUCCUACGGGAGGCAGCAGUCGGGAAUUUUGGGCAAUGGGCGCAAGCCUGACCCAGCAACGCCGCGUGAAGGAUGAAAUUUUUCGGAAUGUAAACUUCGCAAGAACAAGGAAGAAUAAGUGUGGGAC
RNAcentral lists this ribosomal RNA (457 nucleotides) under uncultured bacterium. Its description in RNAcentral is "bacterial SSU rRNA". It matches the Rfam family "Bacterial small subunit ribosomal RNA", at positions 32 to 461 of the family's 1533-position model. The record is from RNAcentral.